Molecule: ribosomal RNA, 655 nt
Filed under: Listeria monocytogenes
Lineage: Bacteria; Bacillati; Bacillota; Bacilli; Caryophanales; Listeriaceae
Description: bacterial SSU rRNA
Rfam family: Bacterial small subunit ribosomal RNA
Source: RNAcentral
ACCGCAAGGUUGAAACUCAAAGGAAUUGACGGGGGCCCGCACAAGCGGUGGAGCAUGUGGUUUAAUUCGAAGCAACGCGAAGAACCUUACCAGGUCUUGACAUCCUUUGACCACUCUGGAGACAGAGCUUUCCCUUCGGGGACAAAGUGACAGGUGGUGCAUGGUUGUCGUCAGCUCGUGUCGUGAGAUGUUGGGUUAAGUCCCGCAACGAGCGCAACCCUUGAUUUUAGUUGCCAGCAUUUAGUUGGGCACUCUAAAGUGACUGCCGGUGCAAGCCGGAGGAAGGUGGGGAUGACGUCAAAUCAUCAUGCCCCUUAUGACCUGGGCUACACACGUGCUACAAUGGAUAGUACAAAGGGUCGCGAAGCCGCGAGGUGGAGCUAAUCCCAUAAAACUAUGCUCAGUUCGGAUUGUAGGCUGCAACUCGCCUACAUGAAGCCGGAAUCGCUAGUAAUCGUGGAUCAGCAUGCCACGGUGAAUACGUUCCCGGGCCUUGUACACACCGCCCGUCACACCACGAGAGUUUGUAACACCCGAAGUCGGUAGGGUAACCUUUAUGGAGCCAGCCGCCGAAGGUGGGACAGAUAAUUGGGGUGAAGUCGUAACAAGGUAGCCGUAUCGGAAGGUGCGGCUGGAUCACCUCCUUUCUAAGGAA